Molecule: long non-coding RNA, 299 nt
Filed under: Olea europaea (common olive)
Lineage: Eukaryota; Viridiplantae; Streptophyta; Magnoliopsida; Lamiales; Oleaceae
Description: long non-coding RNA (OEUR_LNC005405)
Source: RNAcentral
AAUUUCAACCCUAAAAUUCAUUAUUUAUUCUUGUUGGUUUAAUAUGGAGUUGGAUUUGAUACCAUUUGUUAGAAUUUAAAAACUUUAUGAAUCUCAAGUAUUUGAAAACCCAUUUUCUUUUACUUUAUUUGUUGCUAGGAUCUUCCAUAUCAAAUCAUAAAGAGAAUUAAAAGUGUAGAACAUACCUUGAUCCAUGGUGAAUGAGUUUGAUUACUGGAUUUUAAUUCUGAAUCUUGAAUUGGGCGUUCUUGAUUAUUGCUUCUAGAUCUUCAUUGCCUGUUCUUGAUCCUUAAUCGCGG